GAUGAACGCUGGCGGCGUGCCUAAUACAUGCAAGUCGAGCGAACAGAUGAGGAGCUUGCUCCUCUGACGUUAGCGGCGGACGGGUGAGUAACACGUGGAUAACCUACCUAUAAGACUGGGAUAACUUCGGGAAACCGGAGCUAAUACCGGAUAAUAUAUUGAACCGCAUGGUUCAAUAGUGAAAGACGGUUUUGCUGUCACUUAUAGAUGGAUCCGCGCCGCAUUAGCUAGUUGGUAAGGUAACGGCUUACCAAGGCAACGAUGCGUAGCCGACCUGAGAGGGUGGUUGGAUAGCUGGGAAGAGAGGCAGGGCAGACACACUGACGGUGAGACACAGCAGAGAAUCUUCCGGGAGGGGGGAGAGGCGGAUGGAGCAAAGCGGGGGGAGGGAUGAAGGUGUUCGGACCGUAAAACGCUGUUAUUAGGGGAGAAGUAAUGUGUAAUUAACCAUGAACAUCUUGACGGUACCUGAUCAGAAAGCCCCGGCUAACUACGUG
RNAcentral lists this ribosomal RNA (497 nucleotides) under uncultured bacterium. RNAcentral describes it as "partial 16S ribosomal RNA". It matches the Rfam family "Bacterial small subunit ribosomal RNA", at positions 28 to 507 of the family's 1533-position model. The record is from RNAcentral.